Molecule: small RNA, 82 nt
Filed under: Salix viminalis (osier)
Lineage: Eukaryota; Viridiplantae; Streptophyta; Magnoliopsida; Malpighiales; Salicaceae
Source: RNAcentral
GAUCAAAUGCUGAGCUUAGACAUGUAUUAGUCUGAUGAGUUGUUAAACCCUCUGUCUUCUAGCAUUUAUGAGUCUGAUGAUC